CAGUGUUUGACAACAGCUACAAGCACGACAGGCCACUACCGAUGCACAUCGGUGCAGGCAAGUGAUUGCAAUUGGGAAGCACAAGCUGAUGAUCCGACUUUGGCAUACAGACUUGAACAAGCAGACUGCUUCUCAGUUUCAGGGUCAUGUUUAGCAAGGAGAAGAUCGCCAAGAUGAAGAAAGGCGUGAUCAACAUGAAGAAAGCUCGUCGAGCGAUCAUGGAUUCCUAGGCAGUGGUAGAA
This is a long non-coding RNA of Lolium rigidum, 242 nucleotides long. RefSeq lists it as uncharacterized. The record is from RefSeq and is a predicted model, not a curated record. NCBI's taxonomy places the organism in Eukaryota, Viridiplantae, Streptophyta, Magnoliopsida, Poales, Poaceae. The transcript has 3 exons.